This 494-nucleotide ribosomal RNA is filed under the name uncultured bacterium. Its description in RNAcentral is "partial 16S ribosomal RNA". It matches the Rfam family "Bacterial small subunit ribosomal RNA", at positions 30 to 507 of the family's 1533-position model. The record is from RNAcentral.
AUUGAACGCUGGCGGCAUGCUUUACACAUGCAAGUCGAACGGCAGCGGGGAGGAGCUUGCUUCUCUGCCGGCGAGUGGCGAACGGGUGAGUAAUACAUCGGAACGUGUCGAGAAGAGGGGGAUAACCACCCGAAAGGGUGGCUAAUACCGCAUAAAUUCUGAGGAAGAAAGCUGGGGACCUAGGAAUAGGCCUAGCGCUUUUUGAGCGGCCGAUGUCGGAUUAGCUAGUUGGUGAGGUAAAGGCUCACCAAGGCGAAGAUCUGUAGCGGGUCUGAGAGGAUGAUCCGCCACACUGGGACUGAGACACGGCCCAGACUCCUACGGGAGGCAGCAGUGGGGAAUUUUGGACAAUGGGGGCAACCCUGAUCCAGCCAUGCCGCGUGUAUGAAGAAGGCCUUAGGGUUGUAAAGUACCUUUGUUAGGGAAGAAAAGUCAGCUGUGAAUAAUGGCUGAUACUGACGGUACCUAAAGAAUAAGCACCGGCUAACUACGUG